This 463-nucleotide ribosomal RNA is filed under the name uncultured bacterium. Its description in RNAcentral is "partial 16S ribosomal RNA". It matches the Rfam family "Bacterial small subunit ribosomal RNA", at positions 29 to 523 of the family's 1533-position model. The record is from RNAcentral.
AACGAACGCUGGCGGCAUGCCUAACACAUGCAAGUCGAACGAAGCCUUCGGGCUUAGUGGCGCACGGGUGCGUAGCGCGUGGGAAUCUGCCUUUUGCUUCGGAAUAACAGUUAGAAAUGGCUGCUAAUACCGGAUGAUGUCCCCCUGAGAGAUCUUGGGGACCAAAGAUUUAUCGGCAAGAGAUGAGCCCGCGUAGGAUUAGGUAGUUGGUGGGGUAAAGGCCUACCAAGCCGACGAUCCUUAGCUGGUCUGAGAGGAUGAUCAGCCACACUGGGACUGAGACACGGCCCAGACUCCUACGGGAGGCAGCAGUGGGGAAUAUUGGACAAUGGACGCAAGUCUGAUCCAGCAAUGCCGCGUGAGUGAUGAAGGCCUUAGGGUUGUAAAGCUCUUUUACCAGGGAUGAUAAUGACAGUACCUGGAGAAUAAGCUCCGGCUAACUCCGUGCCAGCAGCCGCAGUAA